RNAcentral lists this long non-coding RNA (215 nucleotides) under Linum usitatissimum (flax). RNAcentral describes it as "long non-coding RNA (LUSI_LNC000180)". Lineage: Eukaryota; Viridiplantae; Streptophyta; Magnoliopsida; Malpighiales; Linaceae. The record is from RNAcentral.
CUACUCUGGAUCUCCAAGUUCCGUUCCAUCUCAGCAGCAAGAUCAUCAACCUCGUCGUCAGAUAGGUUAAGAUCAUGAAGAGCUUCUCCCCCUGAGCCAGAGGCAGGCUGAAGAUGAUCCCAACCAACUUCCCGAAGAACCUGACUAGGACGAAGAUUGUGAAGGGGAGAUUCAAUCAGAAGGCUCCCGUGCACUGGAACACCAAGGGCAUAGAG